ACGCUCGACACCUACGGGAGGCAGCAGUGGGGAAUAUUGCACAAUGGGGGAAACCCUGAUGCAGCGACGCCGCGUGGAGGAAGAAGGUCUUCGGAUUGUAAACUCCUGUUGUUAGGGGAAAAAGAGGAUGGUACCCAACAAGGAAGUGACGGCUAACUACGUGCCACAGCCGCGGUAAUCUGAGCGGGCUGGCAAGGC
RNAcentral lists this ribosomal RNA (198 nucleotides) under uncultured bacterium. RNAcentral's name for it is "partial 16S ribosomal RNA". It matches the Rfam family "Bacterial small subunit ribosomal RNA", at positions 328 to 539 of the family's 1533-position model. The record is from RNAcentral.